Molecule: unclassified non-coding RNA, 240 nt
Filed under: soil metagenome
Description: partial contains 5.8S ribosomal RNA, internal transcribed spacer 2, and large subunit ribosomal RNA
Source: RNAcentral
AACAUCGCGCACCUGCGGGAACCUGCGGAGGGAUCAUUACCGAGUCACGUGCUCAAACAACCCUUCUGUGGACCUGAAAUAAAACCGUUGCCUCGGCGGGCGGUCCCCCCCAAACCAACCCCACGUGGUGGGUUAGGGGAGACCAGACAGUCCGGUACGCUUAAGGCGUCCGGCGCCAGCCGCUGGCCCCAAACAAUUAAACUCUAGUAAUCUUUACCUUCUGAGUUUCAAUAUUUAAAA